This is a non-coding RNA of Ceratotherium simum simum (southern white rhinoceros), 105 nucleotides long. Lineage: Eukaryota; Metazoa; Chordata; Mammalia; Perissodactyla; Rhinocerotidae. The record is from RefSeq and is a predicted model, not a curated record.
CUUGGUCAAAGUCUCAAUUUUUUGUGUUCGGUCCAAAGAGCAGAGCUAAACAAUAGCUUUACGAUCCUUAAAAAUACAUUCAAGACCCGAUCUUAGAAAACAGGC